Molecule: long non-coding RNA, 2247 nt
Organism: Leopardus geoffroyi (Geoffroy's cat)
Lineage: Eukaryota; Metazoa; Chordata; Mammalia; Carnivora; Felidae
Exons: 3
Source: RefSeq, a predicted model, not a curated record
CUGGGCAGUUUGCUUCCAUAAGGCCAGCAGGAGGGUCUCUUUCCAGUGUGCCGGGAGUCGUCUGCACCGUCACCGUGGGCGUGGCCUCCGCCCCUUUGCCACAUCCUAUCAGCGUCUCACCUGGCUGGAGCCUGUGUACACACGACCUCACUCUCUAAGAGGACGGAGGUGCCCCCCCACCCCCCGGAACGGACAUCUGGGCAUUUCUGUAAAAGGUGGCCCCGCGAGGCCCGGGCCAGGACAUCGGGCAGAUGACACCGGGAGGCCCUGACGCAGGUGUCCGCGUGUCGGGGGCGGAAUGCAGGGGUUUGGCUGCUCUGAGGGGCACUGCGGUGGGGAGGCUGUGCCUCUCCACGGGCAGAGCGGCAAGCCUCCCCGCCGCUGCCUCCCACCAGGGCCGGGACGACGGACCCUCCCAGACGCUGCCCGACUUCCGCUCGACAAGGAAGAGUCACCCCGAACCGCACCUCCGGCUGCUUUUGUGCACUUUGCCUGGGGCUCCGCAGGGCGCGUUAACCCGGGAGCCCAGAUUUCUGCUGCGGAACAAGUCUUGUGCUGUUUCCUCCCCUCUGCAGCCUGGGGACGCCCGCUGUGGGCUCAGGGCUCUGGACAGCUGGCCGCCCAGGCUGGGGCGGGGCUGAGCAGGGGGCGGGGCAGGACUGGGGGGCGGGCCAGGGGGGCCGGGGCGGGGCCCAGAGGAGCGACGGCGGCGCGCUCGCUCCGGUUCCUCCUCCGUGCACCGGCAGUAGGUGGCGCGCCCCAGGGUGGCCCUGCCCCUGGUGGAGGAGUCUUGCAGGAGCUGGGCAGGGGCAGGUUCAGGUUAGACCUGCCUUAACGUUUUCCUCAGGCGAAACCAGUUGCAGCCUCGUUGUUUGGCCAAAGCCCCACGCCCUCCCGCCCCGCCCCGAGGGAGCCCCGCGGCGUCCCGUUGCUGCCCUAUCGGUACGCACUUGGGAGCACACUCUCCUCCUGCAUCAGCCCUGGGGGCCCUGGGCUGGGCCAGAGCAGGGAGGGCUGAGGCCGCACCCACCUGUCCCCGCCCAGGGAGGCUGCGCCGUCCCGUUGUCGACGACCCGGCCCGGCGUCCUCGGCACGAAGCACCUCCCGGAGGUUUCUGGUCUCAGGUCAGUGGCGCCUGUGUCUCCCAGUGUCCUGCAGCCGCUCACACUGGUUUCUCCCCAGCGCCUCUCCUCUGUCACACUCCGUCUACCUACGUGGUGGGGGCACAGCUGUACCCCAUGUCACAGAGUGGACCCCUAGGCUAGGAGAGGGUAGGGGCAGGGAUGUGAACUUGACCUGCACAGGCCACACGCAGCACAUGAACCGGACCCCCUGUGUGAGCCUCACCCCGGCUGAGGACUCCGGCCUCCGCAGGCCUAAGGGUGUGGGGAGUGGCCCCAAACCGGCACCUGGGGUGGGGGGCCAUCUACCUUGCUGGGCGGCCUUGCGCGCCCCUCCCCCCACAUCUCCUGGAAGGGCAGCGAAUGUUCAGUCAUUAGGAAACAGGUUUGACUUAUUGACUAGGCUUUUCCAGCGUGUUCUGAGGUCCCUGAAGAUCCUGCUCCAGACCAGGGUCUACGUCUGUAAGGGAAAGACCCCCGUCUUCGUAGACAACGUUUGCCCCAUGGCUCUGCCGGUUCUGACUCCCCAGGGACCAGGCUCCUCUCGGGCAGCAGGGUCCCAGCGACAGAAGCCGGUGCAGAGUGGGCCUUGAAGGAGGGCUGCCGGUGAUGUGCUCCAGGCCCCGCGAGAGACGGUGGGCCGGGUAGAGCAGGUCAGCCUGCAUGGGGCGUGGGGCACCGGGUUCCUGCCCUUGCCUGGUGGGCCGAGGCCCGGCCUCCUGCUCCGAGACGGUGGGGGGAUUCAGCUUCCCGGUGACUUGUCCAGAUGAAGGACCCGGGGCGCGGAGGUCAGCCGGCACUGAGGGCGCACCCUUCUUGCUCUGCCCGGACCCUCCUGUGCGGAGAACAGACUGGGCCCCGAGACUCGCGUUGCCAGAGGAUGAGCUCCCGGACGUCCGGGCUCAGCCAGCCACCGGCUCUGCCUUGUCCGCAGUCCUGGCAUUUCGUACCUGAAGGACUUGUCACACUCGACCACAUUUCCACUCUGGCCCGAUUUCCUGUUGGUCGUCAAUACAUUGUAUCGAGGGAAUGCUACGAAGCCCACUGAGUGUAGGCUGCGGUUAUAAUCCUUGGAAAAAUAAACACUUCCUACCGUAAGAAAAGGGAACUUACUUUGGUAUCAAAA